Molecule: ribosomal RNA, 606 nt
Filed under: uncultured Actinomycetes bacterium
Lineage: Bacteria; Bacillati; Actinomycetota; Actinomycetes
Description: bacterial SSU rRNA
Rfam family: Bacterial small subunit ribosomal RNA
Source: RNAcentral
GCGAGGUAACGGCUCACCAAGGCAACGACGGGUAGCUGGUCUGAGAGGACGAUCAGCCACACUGGGACUGAGACACGGCCCAGACUCCUACGGGAGGCAGCAGCAGGGAAUAUUGCACAAUGGGCGAAAGCCUGAUGCAGCGACGCCGCGUGAGGGAUGAAGGCCUUCGGGUUGUAAACCUCUUUCAGGAGGGACGAAGCGAAAGUGACGGUACCUCCAGAAGGAGCCCCGGCCAACUACGUGCCAGCAGCCGCGGUAAUACGUAGGGGGCGAGCGUUGUCCGGAUUCAUUGGGUGUAAAGAGCUCGUAGGCGGCUCAGCAAGUCGGCCGUGAAAGCCCGGGGCUCAACCCCGGGACGCCGGUCGAAACUGCUGUGGCUAGGGUCCGGUAGGGGAGAGUGGAAUUCCCGGUGUAGCGGUGAAAUGCGCAGAUAUCGGGAGGAACACCAGUAGCGAAGGCGGCUCUCUGGGCCGGUACCGACGCUGAGGAGCGAAAGCUAGGGGAGCAAACAGGAUUAGAUACCCAGGUAGUCCUAGCCGUAAACGUUGGGCACUAGGUGUGGCGGAUUCAUUGAUGUCUGCCGUGCCGUAGCUAACGCAUUAAGUG